Non-coding RNA from Pimephales promelas (fathead minnow), 953 nucleotides. The record is from RefSeq and is a predicted model, not a curated record. Lineage: Eukaryota; Metazoa; Chordata; Actinopteri; Cypriniformes; Leuciscidae.
AAUGUUAGCAGGCGAAUGUUAAUUUUAAUUAUGUUAUGUAAAAAUAUAUAAAAUUCUGAAUGUGUUUGUUUAGCUACAUCUAUUUUUUUAUGGUGUCCCAGACAACAACAUAGUUUACAACAUAUUUCAUAUUAGUAUUACUGUAAAAAAUGUUAGGUUUUGACCUGAAGUUUAACAGAAUGUAAACCUGCAGACUAUACACACUAGAGUUUUAGUGGUGGUUUUGUUUGAGCGAGAAAAUAAUUAAUGUAAUUUAAUUUGAAAGUUGUCGUUACCUGUAUUUUGCACCAAAGCAAUGAUAAAUGCUCCAGUUUAUCCCAGUAUGUGAAGAGUUUAGAAAAAGUUACAUAAGUAUAAUUGAGAAAUGUCCUAGCGAUUGUAAAAAAACCUGUAAAGGUCACUUUAUAAGCUAUAGAAAUUAUACAAAUGAACCACAUCGAUGACUUGCAUCACAUUUUUGACAUUAUAUCGCGCAGUAACAUGCCAGAUUCCCUCUUAUCCCUCAUCCUUCCCUCUUUUUCAAAAUGACCCGAAUCCCUAAAAUUAUACUUAAUUUUUUUUUUGUCCAGAAAGCUAAUUUUAUUCUGUUUUGAUAUUUUUGUUCUAUUUUUUUUAGUGCAUUUUUAAAAAAAAAAAAAUGUUAUUUUUUACCUUUAAAUUACUAGAUUUAUUAAAUAAAUAGUCAUUUAAGCACACUUGUCACAUAUAUCUUACAUUGAGUGUCUGUGCCCUCUUGUGGACAAUAAUAAUAACACAUGAUAUUUCAUGACUUAUACAGUUUCUUCAGUGUGCAUUCAGAAAGACAUACGUUUUAGCAUUUUUAGUUUGAAUUUUGACCUUUUUAGGUGUUUCUAUGUGCACCGAAACAUUAAAUUGACCCGUGAGGGAAGGACUUGUUACUUUUUUUAAAUUUCAACCACAAAACUCCUCUAAUACAUUCAAUAUUUGUGUGU